RNAcentral lists this ribosomal RNA (1554 nucleotides) under Klebsiella variicola. RNAcentral describes it as "bacterial SSU rRNA". It matches the Rfam family "Bacterial small subunit ribosomal RNA". The record is from RNAcentral. Lineage: Bacteria; Pseudomonadati; Pseudomonadota; Gammaproteobacteria; Enterobacterales; Enterobacteriaceae.
ACUUAAAUUGAAGAGUUUGAUCAUGGCUCAGAUUGAACGCUGGCGGCAGGCCUAACACAUGCAAGUCGAGCGGUAGCACAGAGAGCUUGCUCUCGGGUGACGAGCGGCGGACGGGUGAGUAAUGUCUGGGAAACUGCCUGAUGGAGGGGGAUAACUACUGGAAACGGUAGCUAAUACCGCAUAACGUCGCAAGACCAAAGUGGGGGACCUUCGGGCCUCAUGCCAUCAGAUGUGCCCAGAUGGGAUUAGCUAGUAGGUGGGGUAAUGGCUCACCUAGGCGACGAUCCCUAGCUGGUCUGAGAGGAUGACCAGCCACACUGGAACUGAGACACGGUCCAGACUCCUACGGGAGGCAGCAGUGGGGAAUAUUGCACAAUGGGCGCAAGCCUGAUGCAGCCAUGCCGCGUGUGUGAAGAAGGCCUUCGGGUUGUAAAGCACUUUCAGCGGGGAGGAAGGCGGUGAGGUUAAUAACCUCACCGAUUGACGUUACCCGCAGAAGAAGCACCGGCUAACUCCGUGCCAGCAGCCGCGGUAAUACGGAGGGUGCAAGCGUUAAUCGGAAUUACUGGGCGUAAAGCGCACGCAGGCGGUCUGUCAAGUCGGAUGUGAAAUCCCCGGGCUCAACCUGGGAACUGCAUUCGAAACUGGCAGGCUAGAGUCUUGUAGAGGGGGGUAGAAUUCCAGGUGUAGCGGUGAAAUGCGUAGAGAUCUGGAGGAAUACCGGUGGCGAAGGCGGCCCCCUGGACAAAGACUGACGCUCAGGUGCGAAAGCGUGGGGAGCAAACAGGAUUAGAUACCCUGGUAGUCCACGCUGUAAACGAUGUCGAUUUGGAGGUUGUGCCCUUGAGGCGUGGCUUCCGGAGCUAACGCGUUAAAUCGACCGCCUGGGGAGUACGGCCGCAAGGUUAAAACUCAAAUGAAUUGACGGGGGCCCGCACAAGCGGUGGAGCAUGUGGUUUAAUUCGAUGCAACGCGAAGAACCUUACCUGGUCUUGACAUCCACAGAACUUUCCAGAGAUGGAUUGGUGCCUUCGGGAACUGUGAGACAGGUGCUGCAUGGCUGUCGUCAGCUCGUGUUGUGAAAUGUUGGGUUAAGUCCCGCAACGAGCGCAACCCUUAUCCUUUGUUGCCAGCGGUUAGGCCGGGAACUCAAAGGAGACUGCCAGUGAUAAACUGGAGGAAGGUGGGGAUGACGUCAAGUCAUCAUGGCCCUUACGGCCAGGGCUACACACGUGCUACAAUGGCAUAUACAAAGAGAAGCGACCUCGCGAGAGCAAGCGGACCUCAUAAAGUAUGUCGUAGUCCGGAUUGGAGUCUGCAACUCGACUCCAUGAAGUCGGAAUCGCUAGUAAUCGUAGAUCAGAAUGCUACGGUGAAUACGUUCCCGGGCCUUGUACACACCGCCCGUCACACCAUGGGAGUGGGUUGCAAAAGAAGUAGGUAGCUUAACCUUCGGGAGGGCGCUUACCACUUUGUGAUUCAUGACUGGGGUGAAGUCGUAACAAGGUAACCGUAGGGGAACCUGCGGUUGGAUCACCUCCUUACCUUAAAGAA